GCCAGCCGCUCAGAACUUAAUGAAUUGACGGGGCCGCACGAAGCGGUGGAGUAUGUGGUUUAAUUCGAUGCAACGCGAAGAACCUUACCUGGUCUUGACAUCCCGGAGACCCUUAGGAAACUAGGGGGUGCUUCCAUCUGGAAGAAUCUGGAGACAGGUGCUGCAUGGCUGUCGUCAGCUCGUGUCGUGAGAUGUUGGGUUAAGUCCCGCAACGAGCGCAACCCUUGCCUUUAGUUGCCAGCAGUUCGGCUGGGCACUCUAAAGGGACUGCCGGUGUUAAACCGGAGGAAGGUGGGGAUGACGUCAAGUCCUCAUGGCCUUUAUGACCAGGGCUACACACGUACUACAAUGGCCGAUACAAAGGGCAGCGACACUGCGAGGUGAAGCCAAUCCCGUAAAAUCGGUCUCAGUCCGGAUUGGAGUCUGCAACUCGACUCCAUGAAGUUGGAAUCGCUAGUAAUCGUGGAUCAGCAUGCCACGGUGAAUACGUUCCCGGGCCUU
This 501-nucleotide ribosomal RNA is filed under the name uncultured Desulfobulbus sp. Its description in RNAcentral is "bacterial SSU rRNA". It matches the Rfam family "Bacterial small subunit ribosomal RNA", at positions 904 to 1382 of the family's 1533-position model. The record is from RNAcentral. Lineage: Bacteria; Pseudomonadati; Thermodesulfobacteriota; Desulfobulbia; Desulfobulbales; Desulfobulbaceae.